UACGAAGGGGGCUAGCGUUGCUCGGAAUCACUGGGCGUAAAGGGUGCGUAGGCGGUCGGGUAAGUCUGACGUGAAAUCUUCAAGCUCAACUUGGAAACUGCGUCCGAUACUAUUCGGCUAGAGGAAUGGAGGGGAGACUGGAAUACUUGGUGUAGCAGUGAAAUGCGUAGAUAUCAAGUGGAACACCAGUGGCGAAGGCGAGUCUCUGGACAUUUCCUGACGCUGAGGCACGAAAGCCAGGGGAGCAAACGGG
This 253-nucleotide ribosomal RNA is filed under the name uncultured bacterium. Its description in RNAcentral is "partial 16S ribosomal RNA". It matches the Rfam family "Bacterial small subunit ribosomal RNA", at positions 524 to 776 of the family's 1533-position model. The record is from RNAcentral.